Molecule: RNA transcript, 2777 nt
Organism: Medicago truncatula (barrel medic)
Lineage: Eukaryota; Viridiplantae; Streptophyta; Magnoliopsida; Fabales; Fabaceae
Exons: 11
Source: RefSeq, a predicted model, not a curated record
CAGUAUUUAAUUGUUAUCAGUCCAACCUUUAAAUGCAAACAUCAUCGGUCUAGUUCCGAUGACUUUGGUUUUGUCGAGGUCUUCUCGUUGUCUCUUUAUGCUCAGUGGUGUCAAGAUUCGGUGCCUCACUUACACUUACCCACCACUGGGAUUGAAAUUGGGAAACGUUGAAGAUGAAACUCAAGCAAUUUGCAAUGCAUGCAAAUGGUGGGUAAUAUUGAAGAGAAAGCUGUGGAAGAUUGAACUCAAGCAUGCAUCAUUGUCACAUCACUUUCAACGAGGCUUUGGGGCUCUACCAUCUCAAAUCGCAAAUGGUGAUGAAUUCCACAGUUUCAAUGUUAAAUGCAAAGGUAUUUUCAAUGAGCUUCAUGUGUUUUAUACUCCCUUCAGUAUGAACUAUGAGAAAGUUUUGCAAACAAGAAUUGAUGUAUUUGGUCUAAACUUUAUCUUAGGGUUGUUCGAGAGGGGUUUUUGGAGGGAAGGGCUUUGAAGGGUUAAAUUUAUAUUUUAAUAUAUAUUUGAUUUGAUAUUUUAUAAAAGUUGAAAGAACAACAUGAUAAAUGAUCAUAUAAUACUUCAAUAACACUUAAUUGGUUUUAGAAAAACAUUUUAUAACGUCCGUAAUUGAUAAAAUAGAAUAGUAUGCCCUCCCCUCCAAAAUCCUCUAUCUAAACAUACCCUUAUCCAAACAUAUGAUUCGAGGGAGUACUUCAAUCAUCUAUAAAUAUUAUUAAUUAUUUCUUUAAUAAUGUAAAACUAAAAAAAAACCCAUAUUACGAGACGGAAGAAGUACUCCCUUGAAUCAUAUUUAUAGAUUAAAAGCUACUUUUUAGAUUCAAUAAACAUUUAAUGUAUUUAUAGACUAAAUACAUUAUGUAACUAAUAAAAAAGUAGUUUUUUGUUUAUAAAUGUUACCAGAUGAAGUAUUUUCUUUUACAAUUAAUUUACCUUUAAGAGAUGAGAUGAUGCAAUCCGACACAAGUAUUAGAGCUAAGCAGGUACUUUGGAAAUAAAACAUAAUGAGGAAUUAGUUGGGGAAUAUAAUUUUAAAUAGUGUAAAAUAUUAUAUGAAAGUAAUUUUUGUAUGUAAACCUUUAUAUGCAUACAUCAUUCGAUGACUUUGGUUUUUUCGAGGUCGUGGUUCUUGUUGUCUCUUUAUGCUCAUUGGUGUCAAGAUUCGGUGCCUCACUUACACUUACCCACUGGGAAAUGUUGAAGAUGAAGCUGCGGAAGAUUGAACUCGAGCAAUGUAAUGCAUGCAAAUGAUAUGUUUGUCCAUGGUGGGAAGAGAAAGACCAAAGAAGGAAUGUGUGCUUAACUCCUGUGGAAACUAUAACAAAGCAAGCCUUGGACAUCAAUCAAUAUAUUUUUAUUUAUAUGUAAAUAUUUAAAUAGAGAACUAGAGGGAUUGGAACUAUCCUAUCUCAAAUGGUUUUGAUACGAACACAAUAUUUGCAUUCCAAAGAAAAAACACUUUUUAUUCAAAACUAGGAAGGAAAAAAAAAGAAAUAAGUAGCCCACAGUGUGUUAUCUCUCCUUGUACUAUUUUCAUCUCAAUAACCUUUCACCAUACCCACUCAGCAACUCACUCACAAUACUCAAUGAAACCUAAUAAACUUCUCUUCCCCCUAGACCUACCAUUUCCCCACUCGAAGCAAGUGAAAGUGUACAAAUCUAUUUUGCUUAUAUUGGGAUUUGGGAUAGGGUAAAAUUGAAGAGAAAGCUGCGGAAGAUUGAACUCAAGCAUGCAUCACUGUCACACCACUUUCAACGAGGCUUUGGUGCUCUACCAUCUCAAAUCACAAAUGGUGAUGAAUUCCACGGUUUCAAUGUUAAAUUUAAAGAUGAGUUGGAGGUUUUUUAUCUUAAAAUGGUUUCAAAGAUACACUUGGCCAUGGUGGAAAGGGAAUGACUCAGAAGUAACAGUUGCUUAACUCCUGAGAAAACUAUACUACUGCAAGCCUUGGACAAUCAAUCCAUUUUUUUAUAUAUAAAAAAUAAAAGAGAACUAGUAGAUGAUGCAGAUGAAGAGGCGGUUUUAUAUGCUGAAAUGGUUUCAGGAGAAGCAUGCCACUCCUGUUUUAAUAAAUUCUAAGUUAGUCUGGGAAGGACUUGGAGGAGAGACUGAUUUGGGAAACUGGUGCAGGGUGUGUUUGGAAGGAGGGUUUGAGAAACAAUAACCUUGCUACCGUGAAUUUCUUUGGUGUGUAAUUGAGCAACCUUUGUUUUCAAAGAAUUGCAAGUUUUUACAAGGCUUGUCGACUUCAUACUCUGUUUCUAGAGGGGAAAGAUGGUGUUUGGACUGGUGACCUAUACUCUGGAUAUUCACUGCCAAUGGAAGAUCCCAAAGAAGAGACAAAUGUGGAUCUUGAAGGAACUUGGAAAUAGUUUAUAAGAAGAGCAAUGCUAUUUCAAGCGAAUAAUUCCAUUGUGAAAUUCCACGAAGCUGUCGUGUUGCUUUUAAAAGGCAAGCAACGUGUCCCCACUUCCUUAUUUACCGGAAAAUAUCAAUGCAGUAUGUGAUAACAACCAAUCAGCUGAGUUCGCAAUCCAUUCGUGAUACCAACUCUCGCGAGAUUUAGCAUUAGGCAUAAAAGAAGUAUGUGAAUAAAUCUAAUUUUUGUGGUGGCGAAAUUCUCGCACAUUUUGACUGUAAGGAAGUAUGUGAAGCAUUAACCGAAUGUUGUUUGAUUGUUAUACAAGUCUUUCUUUGAAUUGUAGAUGUGAUGUUCUUUGUGAAUGCUUGUCCGUGAACGCCAGAACAUGUUUUCUUAAAA